UAAAAAUCUACCUUGAUCCUCUACCCUUUUGUUACCUGAGGCCUUCAAGGCCAACUGCUAUAAUAAUUAAAACUUGAAAAAGCUACCAGUCUUCUGGUCAGAACACAGUGUUUUUUUAAGGGCACAUAAAUGAAGGAAACUUGUAUCCUAUAAACAUGCAGCUCAAAUUAGCGAUGCCUUUCCUGAAUAUCCACCCUUCAACCCUACUCUUUACUAGAUGUGUACAGAACUCUGUAUAUAGACAUGUUGAAAGUUACUGAGUUGAGGCCUGUAAAUAUUUUUUGUAAAUGGAGACAUUUUUCCUAAUUUGUUUCAAUUUCCCUCUUCUUUCCCCCUAUUUAUUCACUUGCUGUACUAUAGGGCAUGGGAGUUUUUUUUGUUUUUUGUUUUUUUUUUUAAUCUAGAAAAAUGUGAGAUAGACUUAGCUGAAUUCUCCAUAUAUUUUAAGAUUUCUGUUCUGCAUCCUUACUAUAGAACUUCAGCUGUUUUUGUAUCUUAAUAUUUUUAACAAGCCUGUUUUGCAUUUUUUUUUUGUUUGUUUGUUUCCAAUUUUACACUGUGCAAUGCUUUGGGGGUGGGGGGUGGACUUGUGCACUUUCUGAUAUUGUCAUCGUGUGACUCUGCUCCUUUAUGUUGAUCUUUUGAUGCCAUUAGAAGCUUGGAUUCAUUCUAUCCCACACUUCAGUUGAAAUUUUUCUGCCUUCUAUGGUGCAUUUUGGAGUGUUCAUAUAUCACUCCUAAACAAAUAAGGCUUGAAUCCUCCAACCCUUGCACUUAAAACUCCGAAUUUCUUUUCUCUAACCCCAGUGUGCAGCAACUGAAGGAAACAGUUGUUGAUUUGGAAGCCGUGCAUGGUCCUUUUGCCAUCAUCAUCCUCUUCUCUUUCUUUAGGAAUCUUUUACAAUCAACGCUUUAAACCCUGUGAGUAGUUGGCAGAAAUUUGUGGUCACCUUUUAUCUACUUGUGUGUGUGUUAGAUGUGUUAAUUUUUAAAGAUUUGAACUGACAAUAAAAUUUGUUUGUUUUUUCUUGAGAGGCCAAGAGCUAUGGCCUAUUGUAUGUAGUAGCAUAUUGUGCUGUACAGCUGUACAUACUAGAAACAAGCCUUAAAUUCAUGAUUUUAAGUGGAUUGGUAUAAUGAAGAACGGAGUAGUAGGCCAUUUGAAACUGUUGGGCAUUUCAUCUAAUGGACCUAGAAUAAAUUUAUAACUUCAUUUGGAAUGGAAAUGGAGGCAUUUAGCAUCACCAACCAAAAAAAAAAAUCUUAAAGUGGGUGUCUGUUUUUUGGAAUCCUUAAAAGUUUAUCCAUGUGUGCACAUGUGCACACACGUGAGAGAGAAGCAGUGUUUUGUUUGGUCUUCCAUAGCAAAGGCUACAACUAAACAGGGCUGAGUCCUAGUUGUGUGGGAUAGUAAAAUCCCUUUGGUGUAACUGCUAAUCUAGAUCUUGUACUGGGGGAAUCAAGUGGUGAUCAAAAGAAAUCACCACUUUGGAAACGAAACAAGCCAGUUAUACAUUUUUCCUGGAAAGAAAAUAAGUUUAACUGUUGUUAAUGUGUAACUAGCAAGGACUUUCAUGGCUGGAUAUUAAACACACCAUUGCAUCACAGGUAGUUCUCUUAAAUAUCACAAGAGUUGGGAAGUAUAUGUACAUAUUCUUGUGAUAUUUAAGGGAAGCUAUCUGUUUUAACAAGUUUGGGCUACUCCUUUUAUUUGAUAAAAUGCUUUUACAAAUACCUCCAGUGCCUGACCUUGCUCAAACACAUCUUCCUGCUCCCUGAUUCUCUUUCUUCCAUCUACAGUAACGUUGCAAUCUUGUGUUUGUAGCAUUAUAAAUCACAUUUGUGGCAAUGUCUGAUACCACAACUUUACAGCACAUUCUCUACCUUAACUGCAGAAUCAAGCAAAGUGGAGACUUACGGAGUGAGAAAAGACAUCAUUUGAGUUGUCAUAUGGGAGAGUGUUCCAGGCAGGAAACUAUAUUUCUGGGGGCCCUCACAUUUAUCAGAUGGGCCCAAAUUCAAGAUCUGCAGCAUAGGGGAUUUUUCACUCCUAAACUUGUGGUGCGGAUGUGAUGUGCCCCAAAGCCUCUGGGGUCCCUGCAGGCCCCAGGAAACCUUUUUAGCCAAAUGCACCCUGGGUCGUGGGGGAGGGGUGGUAGCCAGCACUUCUUUUGAUAGUAUUCUGGCACUGAAGAAGAUAAAGAAGUUUGAACUAUUGAUAUUUUGUCUUUCUGACCUUGGCUUUUCUGGGUAGAGAACUUUUCAUUAGAUACGGCACAGUCUAACUGUUGUGAGAAAAACCAUCCAUCUUAAUGGUUUUAUAAUGAUGGCUAAACUACUGAUACUUCUCAAUGACCACUUGUAUCUACCAUCAGCCAUGAGAGGUGGGAAGAGGUACACUGUAUCUCUGCAAUAAGACUUGCCAUGGUUCUACCUCCAAGCAAAGGAUCUUUUUAUAUGUAGGCACAGAGCCUCUUUUUGAUCCCGAAAUGGUGCAUCUUGAGAUGGCGGAAUGGAUUCCAAAGAUGACUUUCCAACCAAGGCAGAUUGUGAAUUUUGCCGACUUGUUGUUUUGCUGGUUUGUUAUUUGUUUGUUUUUUUUUUUUUUUUUAAAUCACCUUUUUUAUAUUUCUACUCUGUUUUUGGAAUUUGUCAUGUAAAGAUUCACUGUCUUGGUGAUGCUGCAUUGCUCCAUGCAACUUUUUCAUGGUGAAACAGUACUCUUGAGUGCUGUUUGCACCAUUCUGAUUUUUAACUUGACAAAAUUGGAAUCUCAUGCAAUAAAAAAAAAUGUACUGGAUGCAUUUAGCAGGGUUUAUACUUGUAAACUGAAAAAAAAAAAGAUCAACAGUGGGACAUUAUGGAAAUCUGUAUUUAGUUUUUUGUCGGGGGCUUUUUUUGUUUUGGGGUGUUUUUUUUUUGUUUUGUUUUGUUUUUGUAAAAUUAUUAAAUUAAACUGGCU
This 2962-nucleotide long non-coding RNA is filed under the name Sarcophilus harrisii (Tasmanian devil). RNAcentral's name for it is "lncRNA (ENSSHAG00000032295.1)". The record is from RNAcentral. Lineage: Eukaryota; Metazoa; Chordata; Mammalia; Dasyuromorphia; Dasyuridae.